CCCGCUGAACUUAAGCAUAUCAAUAAGCGGAGGAAAAGAAACCAACAGGGAUUACCUCAGUAACGGCGAGUGAAGCGGUAACAGCUCAAAUUUGAAAUCUGGCUCUUUCAGGGUCCGAGUUGUAAUUUGUAGAAGAUGCUUUGGGCGUGGCUCCGGUCUAAGUUCCUUGGAACAGGACGUCAUAGAGGGUGAGAAUCCCGUACGUGACUGGGUGCCUUCGUCCGUGUAAAGCUCUUUCGACGAGUCGAGUUGUUUGGGAAUGCAGCUCAAAAUGGGUGGUAAAUUUCAUCUAAAGCUAAAUAUUGGCCAGAGACCGAUAGCGCACAAGUAGAGUGAUCGAAAGAUGAAAAGCACUUUGGAAAGAGAGUUAAACAGUACGUGAAAUUGUUGAAAGGGAAGCGCUUGCAAUCAGACUUGCGUGCGGUUGAUCAUCCGAGGUUUUCCCCGGUGCACUCGAUCGUACUCAGGCCAGCAUCGGUUUGGGCGGUUGGAUAAAGGCCUUGGGAAUGUGGCUCCUCUCGGGGAGUGUUAUAGCCCUCGGUGCAAUGCAGCCUGUCCGGACCGAGGACCGCGCUUCGGCUAGGAUGCUGGCGUAAUGGUUGUAAGCGACCCGUCUUGAAACACGG
This 626-nucleotide ribosomal RNA is filed under the name uncultured fungus. RNAcentral's name for it is "eukaryotic LSU rRNA". It matches the Rfam family "Eukaryotic large subunit ribosomal RNA", at positions 24 to 664 of the family's 3401-position model. The record is from RNAcentral. Lineage: Eukaryota; Fungi.